GGGGAUUUAGCUCAGCGGCAUAAGCGCCUGCCUUGAAAGCAGGCAGUCGUGAGUUCUAUCCCCG
Molecule: transfer RNA, 64 nt
Filed under: Cavia porcellus (domestic guinea pig)
Lineage: Eukaryota; Metazoa; Chordata; Mammalia; Rodentia; Caviidae
Rfam family: tRNA
About the family: Transfer RNA (tRNA) molecules are approximately 80 nucleotides in length. Their secondary structure includes four short double-helical elements and three loops (D, anti-codon, and T loops).
Source: Rfam by way of RNAcentral